AACGACUCUCGGCAACGGAUAUCUCGGCUCUCGCAUCGAUGAAGAACGUAGCGAAAUGCGAUACUUGGUGUGAAUUGCAGAAUCCCGUGAACCAUCGAGUCUUUGAACGCAAGUUGCGCCCGAAGCCACUAGGCCGAGGGCACGCCUGCCUGGGCGUCACACGCC
Molecule: ribosomal RNA, 165 nt
Filed under: Prunus buergeriana
Lineage: Eukaryota; Viridiplantae; Streptophyta; Magnoliopsida; Rosales; Rosaceae
Description: 5.8S ribosomal RNA
Rfam family: 5.8S ribosomal RNA
About the family: 5.8S ribosomal RNA (5.8S rRNA) is a component of the large subunit of the eukaryotic ribosome. It is transcribed by RNA polymerase I as part of the 45S precursor that also contains 18S and 28S rRNA.
Source: RNAcentral